GUCGAGCGGACAGAUGGGAGCUUGCUCCCUGAUGUUAGCGGCGGACGGGUGAGUAACACGUGGGUAACCUGCCUGUAAGACUGGGAUAACUCCGGGAAACCGGGGCUAAUACCGGAUGCUUGUUUGAACCGCAUGGUUCAAACAUAAAAGGUGGCUUCGGCUACCACUUACAGAUGGACCCGCGGCGCAUUAGCUAGUUGGUGAGGUAACGGCUCACCAAGGCAACGAUGCGUAGCCGACCUGAGAGGGUGAUCGGCCACACUGGGACUGAGACACGGCCCAGACUCCUACGGGAGGCAGCAGUAGGGAAUCUUCCGCAAUGGACGAAAGUCUGACGGAGCAACGCCGCGUGAGUGAUGAAGGUUUUCGGAUCGUAAAGCUCUGUUGUUAGGGAAGAACAAGUACCGUUCGAAUAGGGCGGCACCUUGACAGUACCUAACCAGAUAGCCACGGCUAACUACGUGCCAGCAGCCGCGGUAAUACGUAGGUGGCAAGCGUUGUCCGGAAUUAUUGGGCGUAAAG
Molecule: ribosomal RNA, 522 nt
Filed under: Bacillus sp. CSu4_15
Lineage: Bacteria; Bacillati; Bacillota; Bacilli; Caryophanales; Bacillaceae
Description: bacterial SSU rRNA
Rfam family: Bacterial small subunit ribosomal RNA
Source: RNAcentral